AUGGCCACCGGAGGCGCCCCAAAGCCGGAGGAGGAGACCGUCGUCUUCCCCGAUUGGGUGAUGCUGGAACGCAUCUUCCACAAAUGGUGCCACGACGACCUAGACGCUGCUGGUGAGGCCGUCAACAAGAACAAGACCGCCGCUCCAGUCAAGAUUGACAGCGGCCACUCCUGCUUCGUCUCCUUCACCCUCGCAGCUCCUCCAGGGUCCUCCUACUUCAACCUCCAUUGGCCGGAGAGACAAGGCUCAGAAGGACUCCUUGCCUUCGUCCGAGCAAUCGACAAGAACCUCGUCCUCUUCGACAUCUUGAUCCCCGACCGGAUUCGCUACAUGGACGCUCCGCCAGAUCUGUUCAUCUACACGGCCUCUGCUCCUUCCCCCUCGGUGCAGCAGCUUCCUCGGCGCAGCACAAAGCGGUUCCUGGCUCAUAAGUUCACCACCGGCAUUCUGCAGCUCAAAGCGGAGCACUGCUACAUCGUUGCCGACCUCAAUGUCCACCCCAAGAAAAAGGGCGUUAGUGCUGAAAUCUGUGUCUUCAACUCCGGCGCCAACGAGUGGAGAAUCAUCACCAAGGUGCUUGCUGAUAAGCUCCCUGACCUCUGGUGGACCGAUGAUGUGUUUGCUUUCGACGGCCAUUUCCUUUGCUGGGUGGACUACUUCAGCGGCGUCGUGCUAUGCGACUUCUCCAAAAAUGUGGACUCCCCGGUGCUCCACUUUGUGCCUUUUCCUGGAGGAAUCAAAUACCCUGAUGACGCACGAUUCCCGAGGUACUUCCCAGGGAGGUUCCGAAGUGUGUCCAUCAGCCAAGGCAUGAUCCGCUACAUCCACAUUGACAAUGACUUUCAUGAGACUAUCCACUCUGGCUGGCAAGGGAUUCCUCCUAAGAGAAGCCAACAGCGGCAGAAGCAGCUAACCCAAAAAAUUACCAUUUGGACGUUGAAAUCCAAGUUCGAGUGGGAGGUGCAUUGUGAGAUCAACCUGGAUUGUCUCUGGGCACAACCUCUUUACCGAGGUCUGCGCUUACCUCGGCGUCUUCCUGAGUUCCCAGUCAUCAGCAUGGAUGACCCGGGUGUUCUGUGCUACCUGCUGAGGGCGAAGGAAUUUGAUGGCAAGGAGUGGAUGAUCAUGGUUGACAUGAACCAUGCGGAUCUGCAGUCAUGUACUGAUGUGAAUGUAGAAGACAAGUUCUCUAAUACCACCCAACUUCCAACUGUCUUCUCCAAAUACCUUCAAAAGGCCAACAGGAUUCUCAAAGAACUUCUUUCUUAA
Molecule: ribosomal RNA, 1269 nt
Filed under: Triticum aestivum (bread wheat)
Lineage: Eukaryota; Viridiplantae; Streptophyta; Magnoliopsida; Poales; Poaceae
Description: partial small subunit ribosomal RNA
Source: RNAcentral